RNAcentral lists this ribosomal RNA (510 nucleotides) under uncultured bacterium. RNAcentral describes it as "partial 16S ribosomal RNA". It matches the Rfam family "Bacterial small subunit ribosomal RNA", at positions 28 to 507 of the family's 1533-position model. The record is from RNAcentral.
GACGAACGCUGGCGGCGUGCUUAACACAUGCAAGUCGAACGAAGAGCGAUGGAAGCUUGCUUCUAUCAAUCUUAGUGGCGAACGGGUGAGUAACGCGUAAUCAACCUGCCCUUCAGAGGGGGACAACAGUUGGAAACGACUGCUAAUACCGCAUACGAUCUAAUCUCGGCAUCGAGGAGAGAUGAAAGGUGGCCUCGACAUGUAAGCUAUCACUGAAGGAGGGGAGUGAGUCUGGUUAGCUAGUUGGAGGGGGAACGGCCCACCAAGGCGAUGAUCCGUAGCCGGUCCUGGAGGGUGGACGGCCCCAUUGGGACUGGGACCCGGCCCAGACUCCUACGGGGGGCAGCAGUGGGGGAUCUUCCGCCAUGGACGAAAGUCUGGCGGAGCAACGCCGCGUGAGUGAUGACGGCCUUCGGGUUGUAAAGCUCUGUUAAUCGGGACGAAAGGCCUUCUUGCGAAUAGUGAGAAGGAUUGACGGUACCGGAAUAGAAAGCCACGGCUAACUACGUG